UUUAGAGUUUGAUUCUUGCUUAAAUUUUUUAUACUAUGAUUGAAAAAUAUAUGAAAAUUUUUGUGUUCCUUUUAUUAGAUUAAAGAUAAUAGAACAACUCUCAGUAUUAAGUUUUAAAUUAUUAAUUGAAAUUAGAUUUGGUAGUCAUUUUAAUCCUGGCUAAAAUUUGUGCCAGCAGUCGCGGUUAUACUUAGAGGAUAAGUAAAUAGAAUUUGGUUUGUAGUAAGUUGUAAUUAAUUAGUAGUUAUUAUAUUUUUAAAAGAGUGAAAUCAGAGUUAAGUAAUUAUAAUAAUUAUAUAAUAAAAUAAGAAUAAACUAUCAAUUUUAAUAUAUAAACUAGGAUUAGAUACCCUACUAUAAUUAUAAUUAAUUUCGCCCGAAUAUUAAUAGUUAUUUUCUUUAAAUUCAAAGAAUUUGGCGGUAUUUUAGUCUUCUUAGAGGAACCUGUUUCGUAAACGAUAAACCACGAAUAUCUUACCUGUUUUGAGUUUGUAUAUCGUCAUUAUUAGAUAACUUCUGUAGAAUGAGUUAUUAUAAUUAAGAUAAAUUAAGUAAAUUAGAUCAAGGUGCAGCAUGUAAAUAGGAGAAAAUGGGUUACAUUAAUAAUAAAUUAUACGAAUUUAUUUAUGAAAUUAAAUAAUAAAGGUGGAUUUAAUUGUAAAUUUUAAUAAUUAUAAUAGUUUGAUAUAAGCUCUAAAAUAUGUACAUAUCGCCCGUCGCUUUCACCUAAAAGUGAAAUAAGUCGUAACAAAGUAGGUGUACUGGAAAGUGUAUCUAGAAGU
RNAcentral lists this non-coding RNA (782 nucleotides) under Pagurus sp. D20M. The record is from RNAcentral. Lineage: Eukaryota; Metazoa; Arthropoda; Malacostraca; Decapoda; Paguridae.